GGACCCUACGGGACGCAGCAGUGAGGAAUAUUGGUCAAUGGGCGAGAGCCUGAACCAGCCAAGUCGCGUGAAGGAUGACGGCCCUAUGGGUUGUAAACUUCUUUUGUCAGGGAGCAAUUGGGUCCACGGGUGGGCUUAGCGAGAGUACCUGAAGAAAAAGCAUCGGCUAACUCCGUGCCAGCAGCCGCGGUAAUACGGAGGAUGCGAGCGUUAUCCGGAUUUAUUGGGUUUAACGGGUGCGUAGGCGGA
Molecule: ribosomal RNA, 249 nt
Filed under: uncultured bacterium
Lineage: Bacteria
Description: partial 16S ribosomal RNA
Rfam family: Bacterial small subunit ribosomal RNA
Source: RNAcentral